Molecule: ribosomal RNA, 446 nt
Filed under: uncultured organism
Description: partial 16S ribosomal RNA
Rfam family: Bacterial small subunit ribosomal RNA
Source: RNAcentral
ACACUCCUACGGGAGGCAACAGUGGGGAAUAUUGGACAAUGGGCGCAAGCCUGAUCCAGCCAUGCCGCGUGAGUGAUGAAGGCCCUAGGGUUGUAAAGCUCUUUCACCGGUGAAGAUAAUGACGGUAACCGGAGAAGAAGCCCCGGCUAACUUCGUGCCAGCAGCCGCGGUAAUACGAAGGGGGCUAGCGUUGUUCGGAUUUACUGGGCGUAAAGCGCACGUAGGCGGACUAUUAAGUCAGGGGUUAAAUCCCGGGGCUCAACCCCGGAACUGCCUUUGAUACUGGUAGUCUUGAGUUCGAGAGAGGUGAGUGGAAUUCCGAGUGUAGAGGUGAAAUUCGUAGAUAUUCGGAGGAACACCAGUGGCGAAGGCGGCUCACUGGCUCGAUACUGACGCUGAGGUGCGAAAGCGUGGGGAGCAAACAGGAUUAGAAACCCUAGUAGUCC